GGACUAGAAGCUGAGAAGACCACUCCCUCCAAGGUUUCCCAGGCUCUCAGAAAUCAAAAAUCAGGAUCCAGAUGGCUGAGGGUAGAAGCCCCAAGUCAGAGGACCUGGACUGGGGACAGAGGAUUACAGUUCAGCGGGAAGCACUCAGCCCGGACUCUAGGAGACCAGUACUGACUCAGCCGAGGCCACGAGGCCACGCCAGCAGCUGAGAGGAUAAGGGAUGAGGAAACAGUGACGUACAUGGAGGGGAAG
This 252-nucleotide long non-coding RNA is filed under the name Homo sapiens (human). RNAcentral describes it as "HSALNT0015758". Lineage: Eukaryota; Metazoa; Chordata; Mammalia; Primates; Hominidae. The record is from RNAcentral.